Molecule: ribosomal RNA, 468 nt
Filed under: uncultured bacterium
Lineage: Bacteria
Description: partial 16S ribosomal RNA
Rfam family: Bacterial small subunit ribosomal RNA
Source: RNAcentral
GACGGACGCUGGCGGCGUGCUUAACACAUGCAAGUCGAACGGAAAGGCCCUGCUUUUGUGGGGUGCUCGAGUGGCGAACGGGUGAGUAACACGUGAGUAACCUGCCCUUGACUUUGGGAUAACUUCAGGAAACUGGGGCUAAUACCGGAUAGGAGCUCCUGCUGCAUGGUGGGGGUUGGAAAGUUUCGGCGGUUGGGGAUGGACUCGCGGCUUAUCAGCUUGUUGGUGGGGUAGUGGCUUACCAAGGCUUUGACGGGUAGCCGGCAUGAGAGGGUGACCGGCCAAAUUGGGACUGAGAUACGGCCCAGACUCCUACGGGAGGCAGCAGUGGGGAAUAUUGCACAAUGGGCGGAAGCCUGAUGCAGCAACGCCGCGUGCGGGAUGACGGCCUUCGGGUUGUAAACCGCUUUCGACUGUGACGAAGCGUGAGUGACGGUAAUGGGUAAAGAAGCACCGGCUAACUACGUG